RNAcentral lists this ribosomal RNA (443 nucleotides) under uncultured Alphaproteobacteria bacterium. Its description in RNAcentral is "bacterial SSU rRNA". It matches the Rfam family "Bacterial small subunit ribosomal RNA", at positions 340 to 803 of the family's 1533-position model. The record is from RNAcentral. Lineage: Bacteria; Pseudomonadati; Pseudomonadota; Alphaproteobacteria.
UUCGGCUUGCAGUGGGGAAUCUUGGACAAUGGGCGCAAGCCUGAUCCAGCCAUGCCGCGUGAGUGAUGAAGGCCCUAGGGUUGUAAAGCUCUUUCGCCAGGGAAGAUAAUGACGGUACCUGGAUAAGAAGCCCCGGCUAACUCCGUGCCAGCAGCCGCGGUAAUACGGAGGGGGCUAGCGUUGUUCGGAAUUACUGGGCGUAAAGGGCGCGUAGGCGGGCCCAUAAGUCAGAGGUGAAAGCCUGCAGCUUAACUGCAGAACUGCCUUUGAUACUGUGGGUCUUGAGUGCGGUAGAGAGGAAUGGAAUUCCAGGUGUAGUAGUAAAAUACGUAGAUAUCUGGAAGAACACCAGUUGCGAAGGCUGUUCCUUGGGCCGUUACUGACGCUGAGGCGCGAAAGCGUGGGGAGCAAACAGGAUUAGAUACCCCAGUAGUCCAAGCCGA